GGGGCUAUAGCUCAGUUGGGAGAGCGCCUGCCUUGCACGCAGGAGGUCUGCGGUUCGAUCCCGCAUAGCUCCA
Molecule: transfer RNA, 73 nt
Organism: Psychromonas ingrahamii 37
Lineage: Bacteria; Pseudomonadati; Pseudomonadota; Gammaproteobacteria; Alteromonadales; Psychromonadaceae
Rfam family: tRNA
About the family: Transfer RNA (tRNA) molecules are approximately 80 nucleotides in length. Their secondary structure includes four short double-helical elements and three loops (D, anti-codon, and T loops).
Source: Rfam